ACUGACAUUAGAGGCUGCCCACUGC
Molecule: non-coding RNA, 25 nt
Filed under: Rattus norvegicus (Norway rat)
Lineage: Eukaryota; Metazoa; Chordata; Mammalia; Rodentia; Muridae
Source: RNAcentral